Molecule: non-coding RNA, 104 nt
Organism: Tephrocybe rancida
Lineage: Eukaryota; Fungi; Basidiomycota; Agaricomycetes; Agaricales; Lyophyllaceae
Source: the annotation of a GenBank genome assembly
UCCCGUUCGGCAUUUCCAAGUCCGUGGUAGAGCGCGUCACUAGUAUCUCAUUGCCGGCUUUAAAGACUAUGACGAGGUCAGUCGUUCAAGUCGGCUAGAGGGAA